Molecule: ribosomal RNA, 468 nt
Filed under: uncultured bacterium
Lineage: Bacteria
Description: partial 16S ribosomal RNA
Rfam family: Bacterial small subunit ribosomal RNA
Source: RNAcentral
GACGAACGCUGGCGGCGUGCUUAACACAUGCAAGUCGAACGGAAAGGCCCUGCUUUUGUGGGGUGCUCGAGUGGCGAACGGGUGAGUAACACGUGAGUAACCUGCCCUUGACUUUGGGAUAACUUCAGGAAACUGGGGCUAAUACCGGAUAGGAGCUCCUGCUGCAUGGUGGGGGUUGGAAAGUUUCGGCGGUUGGGGAUGGACUCGCGGCUUAUCAGCUUGUUGGUGGGGUAGUGGCUUACCAAGGCUUUGACGGGUAGCCGGCCUGAGAGGGUGACCGGCCACAUUGGGACUGAGAUACGGCCCAGACUCCUACGGGAGGCAGCAGUGGGGAGUAUUGCACAAUGGGCGGAAGCCUGAUACAGCAACGCCGCGUGCGGGAUGACGGCCUUCGGGUUGUAAACCGCUUUCGCCUGUGACGAAGCGUGAGUGACGGUAAUGGGUAAAGAAGCACCGGCUAACUACGUG